Molecule: ribosomal RNA, 423 nt
Filed under: uncultured bacterium
Lineage: Bacteria
Description: bacterial SSU rRNA
Rfam family: Bacterial small subunit ribosomal RNA
Source: RNAcentral
AGGAAUAUUGGUCAAUGGACGAGAGUCUGAACCAGCCAAGUAGCGUGAAGGAUGACUGCCCUAUGGGUUGUAAACUUCUUUUAUAUGGGAAUAAAACAGGGUAUGCAUACCCUCUUGUAUGUACCAUAUGAAUAAGGAUCGGCUAACUCCGUGCCAGCAGCCGCGGUAAUACGGGGGAUGCAAGCGUUAUCCGGAUUUAUUGGGUUUAAAGGGUGCGUAGGCUGUGAGGUAAGUCAGCGGUGAAAUGCCCCCGCUCAACGGGGUGAAGUGCCAUUGAUACUGCCUUGCUGGAAUGCGGAUGCCGUGGGAGGAAUGUGUGGUGUAGCGGUGAAAUGCAUAGAUAUCACACAGAACACCGAUUGCGAAGGCAUCUCACGAAUCCGCGAUUGACGCUGAUGCACGAAAGCGUGGGUAUCAAACAGG